AAUGGGGGGAACCCUGAUCCAGCCAUGCCGCGUGUGUGAAGAAGGCCUUAUGGUUGUAAAGCACUUUAAGCGAGGAGGAGGCUCCCGUAGCUAAUAUCUACGGAGAGUGGACGUUACUCGCAGAAUAAGCACCGGCUAACUCUGUGCCAGCAGCCGCGGUAAUACAGAGGGUGCGAGCGUUAAUCGGAUUUACUGGGCGUAAAGCGUGCGUAGGCGGCUUUUUAAGUCGGAUGUGAAAUCCCCGAGCUUAACUUGGGAAUUGCAUUCGAUACUGGGAAGCUAGAGUAUGGGAGAGGAUGGUAGAAUUCCAGGUGUAGCGGUGAAAUGCGUAGAGAUCUGGAGGAAUACCGAUGGCGAAGGCAGCCAUCUGGCCUAAUACUGACGCUGAGGUACGAAAGCAUGGGGAGCAAA
This 411-nucleotide ribosomal RNA is filed under the name uncultured bacterium. Its description in RNAcentral is "bacterial SSU rRNA". It matches the Rfam family "Bacterial small subunit ribosomal RNA", at positions 370 to 772 of the family's 1533-position model. The record is from RNAcentral.